AGCUUUAUAUUCAUAUUUGUAUGAUAAUAGAAUGCAAUUCUAUAGGAGUAAGAUGAUUACUAAGGCUU
RNAcentral lists this transfer RNA (68 nucleotides) under Mimosilpha disticha. RNAcentral describes it as "tRNA-Cys". Lineage: Eukaryota; Metazoa; Arthropoda; Insecta; Blattodea; Blattidae. The record is from RNAcentral.